RNAcentral lists this ribosomal RNA (460 nucleotides) under uncultured bacterium. RNAcentral's name for it is "bacterial SSU rRNA". It matches the Rfam family "Bacterial small subunit ribosomal RNA", at positions 340 to 786 of the family's 1533-position model. The record is from RNAcentral.
UACGGGAGGCAGCAGUGGGGAAUAUUGCACAAUGGGCGAAAGCCUGAUGCAGCUAUGCCGCGUGUAUGAAGAAGGCCUUAGGGUUGUAAAGUACUUUCAUCGGGGAGGAAAAAACAAAACUAAUAAUUUUAUUUCUUGACGUUACCCGAAAAAGAAGCACCGGCUAACUCUGUGCCAGCAGCCGCGGUAAUACGGAGGGUGCUAGCGUUAAUCAGAAUUACUGGGCGUAAAGAGCACGUAGGUGGGUUUUUUUAAGUUCAGAUGUGAAAUCCCUGGGCUUAACCUAGGAACUGCAUUUUUGAAACUGAAAUACUAGAGUAUCGUAGAGGGAGGUAGAAUUCUAGGUGUAGCGGUGAAAUGCGUAGAUAUCUGGAGGAAUACCUGUGGCGAAAGCGGCCUCCUAAACGAAUACUGACACUGAGGGUGCGAAAGCGUGGGGAGCAAACAGGGAUUAGAUACC